RNAcentral lists this unclassified non-coding RNA (328 nucleotides) under soil metagenome. RNAcentral's name for it is "partial contains 5.8S ribosomal RNA, internal transcribed spacer 2, and large subunit ribosomal RNA". The stretch from base 1 to 120 matches the Rfam family "5.8S ribosomal RNA", at positions 35 to 154 of the family's 154-position model. The record is from RNAcentral.
GAUGAAGAACGUAGCGAAAUGCGAUAAGUAAUGUGAAUUGCAGAAUUCAGUGAAUCAUCGAAUCUUUGAACGCACAUUGCGCCCCUUGGUAUUCCGAGGGGCAUGCCUGUUCGAGCGUCAUUAUAACCCCUCAAGCUCAGCUUGGUGUUGGGGCCUGCCGCACGGGCAGCCCUUAAAAUCAGUGGCGGUGCCAUCUGGCUCUAAGCGUGGUAAUUCUUCUCGCUAUAGAGUCCCGGUGGAUGCUUGCCAUUAACCCCCAAUUUUCUAUGGUUGACCUCGGAUCAGGUAGGGAUACCCGCUGAACUUAAGCAUAUCAAUAAGCGGAGGA